GCCUGGAUAUCUCAAUUGGUUAGAGCAUGGGGCUGAGAAUGCCAAGGUUGCAGGUUCGAUCCCUGUGUGGGACA
This is a non-coding RNA of Podarcis lilfordi (Lilford's wall lizard), 74 nucleotides long. The record is from the annotation of a GenBank genome assembly. Lineage: Eukaryota; Metazoa; Chordata; Lepidosauria; Squamata; Lacertidae.